GCAGCCGUGGUCUAGCGGUUAGGACACUAGCCUUCCAAGCUCGUUACCCGGGUUCAAAUCCCGGCGGCUGCA
RNAcentral lists this transfer RNA (72 nucleotides) under archaeon. RNAcentral's name for it is "tRNA-Gly". It matches the Rfam family "tRNA". Rfam says of the family: Transfer RNA (tRNA) molecules are approximately 80 nucleotides in length. The record is from RNAcentral.